This 304-nucleotide unclassified non-coding RNA is filed under the name Hevea brasiliensis (rubber tree). Lineage: Eukaryota; Viridiplantae; Streptophyta; Magnoliopsida; Malpighiales; Euphorbiaceae. The record is from RNAcentral.
GCCUUCUGGAAAUCUCCCUUGCUAAGAGCUCGAGUGGCAGCCAUCACGUGAUCCCUGACAUUUUCAGGAGGGCCUGUGAAAGUUUGCCUCUCACUCACCUCGAGCAACCGCCUAAAUGUCUUGCUAAUGACUUUGCGCUUAGCAUCAUGAGUGUUGGCUGCCAUGUUGGGGACCUCCAGUACAGCAUGGCACAAGUGAGGUGGACAGCCUCCAAAAGCUCAAGAUUUAUGUGCAUAUGAUAAGGCAUUUGCCGUCUCCUUUCCAGCCUUUCCUGUUCUGGAGUCUUCUCAUGAUACCGAUUUUG